Molecule: long non-coding RNA, 226 nt
Organism: Gossypium arboreum
Lineage: Eukaryota; Viridiplantae; Streptophyta; Magnoliopsida; Malvales; Malvaceae
Exons: 3
Source: RefSeq, a predicted model, not a curated record
CUUUACAAGCUGUUCAAGUGUAUUUUCAAUCAGUAAUUGCAACCAAAGAUUUUAACUACUUUAUUUACUACCUUACAUUUGUCACUUCACAUCUUUGCCUUAAAUUUGCUUUGAUUCCCAUUUUAUGUCGAUCACUCGAACGCAUUGCAAAGUUCUUAAGGCAUAAUUUUAGUCGUUCUACCUUGUACAGAUAUUUACAGAUGCGAGACAGUAUGUCAUCCACUUU